This 228-nucleotide ribosomal RNA is filed under the name uncultured bacterium. Its description in RNAcentral is "partial 16S ribosomal RNA". It matches the Rfam family "Bacterial small subunit ribosomal RNA", at positions 568 to 795 of the family's 1533-position model. The record is from RNAcentral.
CGCGUAGGCGGUCUCUAAAGUCAGAUGUGAAAGCCCGGGGCUUAACCCCGGAAGUGCAUUUGAAACUCAGGGACUUGAGUAUGGGAGAGGGAAGUGGAAUUCCUGGUGUAGCGGUGAAAUGCGUAGAUAUCAGGAGGAACACCAGUGGCGAAGGCGACUUCCUGGACCAAUACUGACGCUGAGGCGCGAAGGCGUGGGGAGCAAACAGGAUUAGAUACCCUGGUAGUC